UCCAAUCGAACCCGGAGAUAGCUGGUUCUCCUCGAAAUAGCUUUAGGGCUAGCCUCGGUGUGAGUCUUGCGGAGGUAGAGCACUGAAUUUCCUAGGGGGCGUCAAAGCCUACCGAAGAAUAUCAAACUGCGAAUGGCGGACAGAUGAUGCCAGGGAGUCAGACUGCACGAGAUAAGUUGGGUGGUCAAAAGGGAAAGAGCCCAGACCUACAGCUAAGGUCCCAAAGUGUGUGUUAAGUGGAAAAGGAUGUGGGAUUUCGAAGACAACUAGGAUGUUGGCUCAGAAGCAGCCACACAUUCAAAGAGUGCGUAAUAGCUCACUAGUCGAGAGGUCCUGCGCCGAAAAUGUCCGGGGCUAAAACACAACACCGAAGCUUAGGAAUUCUAAUGAAUUGGUAGAGGAGCAUUGAAGACGGAACGAAGCCAUACCGGAAGGAAUGGUGGACUGUCUUGAAGAGAGAAUGCCGGAAUGAGUAGCGAGAUUGAAGUGAGAAUCUUCAAGGCCGAAUAUCUAAGGUUUCCAGGGUAAAGCUGAUCUGCCCUGGGUAAGUCGGGGCCUAAGGCAAGGUCGAAAGACGUAGUCGAUGGAUAACAGGUUGAAAUUCCUGUACUGCAUCAAAUCAGAAAUGUGGGGACACAUGAGGGAAGCAUGAGCCGGAAAAGGAAAGUCCGGUACAAGCGCAGCAGAGGACAGAUAGGAAAAACCGUCUGUCAACUCGAGGGCGUGAUGUGGAGCGAACCAAAGUAGCGAAGCAUGUGGAGCUUGUGUCGAGAAAAGCCGCUAUAGUGUUUGAUGUACCCGUACCGUAAACCGACACAGGUGGAUGAGGAGAGAAUCCUAAGGCCGGCGGAAGAAGCAUUGUUAAGGAACUCGGCAAAAUGACCCCGUAACUUCGGGAGAAGGGGUGCUCCAGAGAUGGAGCCGCAGAGAACUGGCCCAAGCAACUGUUUAGCAAAAACACAGGUCUAUGCAAAACCGAAAGGUGAGGUAUAUGGGCUGACGCCUGCCCGGUGCUGGAAGGUUAAGAGGAGAGGUUAGCGCAAGCGAAGCUUUGAAUUUAAGCCCCAGUAAACGGCGGCCGUAACUAUAACGGUCCUAAGGUAGCGAAAUUCCUUGUCGGGUAAGUUCCGACCCGCACGAAAGGCGUAAUGAUUUGGGCACUGUCUCAACAAUGCACCCGGUGAAAUUGAAAUACCAGUGAAGAUGCUGGUUACCUGCGCCAGGACGGAAAGACCCCAUGGAGCUUUACUCUAGCUUGAUACUGGGGUUCGGUAUUGCAUGUACAGGAUAGGUGGGAGACUGAGAAGAUGUGUCGCCAGAUGCAUCAGAGUCGAUGUUGGGAUACCACCCCUGCAGUACUGGGCUUCUAACCUGCAGCCGUGACCCGGCUGGGGGACAAUGUCUGGUGGGGAGUUUGACUGGGGCGGUCGCCUCCGAAAGAGUAUCGGAGGCGCUCAAAGGUUCCCUCAGAAUGGUUGGAAACCAUUCGAAGAGCGCAAAGGCAGAAGGGAGCUUGACUGCGACACCGACGGGUGGAGCAGGUACGAAAG
Molecule: ribosomal RNA, 1550 nt
Filed under: human gut metagenome
Description: bacterial LSU rRNA
Rfam family: Bacterial large subunit ribosomal RNA
Source: RNAcentral